AUGAAGCUUCCAAGUCAGGAAGUGUGCCGGGGAAAAAAUAAUUUUGUGAAAAAUACUAAGUAUUCUUUCGAUUUACAAAGACCAUCGGACAGUGAACAGGUGUCAUUAAAAAAUGCCAGAGGUGAAGGAAGAAGCAAUGGAGACUCAGUGACUCAGACAAAAGGCCAAGUGACCCUCUCAGAAGGGGAUUCCCUUACUGUGAAAUGCUCUUUUGAAACUACAUGGGAUCCCACUCUUUUCUGGUAUGUUCAGUAUCCUGGAGAAGGUCCACAGCUCCUCCUAAAAGCCGUGAAGGCCAAUGAGAAGAAAAACAACAAAGGAUUUGAAGCCACAUACAGCAAACAACCAAAUACCUUCCACUUGGAGAAAGCCUCAGUCGAGGAGUCAGAUUCGGCAAUGUACUACUGUGUGAUGAGUGACACAGUGACAGAAACUGCAGGGGGAGCUGAGCACAAACUCUGA
Molecule: non-coding RNA, 462 nt
Organism: Miniopterus natalensis
Lineage: Eukaryota; Metazoa; Chordata; Mammalia; Chiroptera; Miniopteridae
Source: the annotation of a RefSeq genome assembly